CAACAGGGAUUGCCUUAGUAACUGCGAGUGAAGCGGCAAAAGCUCAAAUUUGAAAUCUGACGUUUUUGACGUCCGAGUUGUAAUUUGGAGGGAUAUCUUCGGAGCUGGCGCUGUCCUAAGUUCUUUGGAACCAGACAUCAUAGAGGGUGAGAAUCCCGUGCCUGGAUAGCUGUCCUGCUCCAUGUGAAGUGUCUCCGACGAGUCGAGUUGUUUGGGAAUGCAGCUCAAAAUGGGUGGUAAAUUUCAUCUAAAGCUAAAUAUUGGCGAGAGACCGAUAGCGCACAAGUAGAGUGAUCGAAAGAUGAAAAGCACUUUGAAAAGAGAGUUAAAUAGUACGUGAAAUUGUUGAAAGGGAAGCGCUUGGGACUAUAUACAGCCGGCUGUGAUCAGCCACGUUUUUACGUGGUGCACUACAAGUCGGUUGAGCCAGCAUCGGUUCUGACGGCGGGAUAAAGGUUUCAGGAAUGUGGCUCCCCAAUUAUCGGGAGUGUUAAAGCCUGGAGCGCAAUGCCGCCAGUUGGGACCGAGGCUAGCGCGGAUUCGCAUGGAUGCUGGCUAAUGUAU
This 564-nucleotide ribosomal RNA is filed under the name Otidea rainierensis. RNAcentral's name for it is "LSU rRNA". It matches the Rfam family "Eukaryotic large subunit ribosomal RNA", at positions 66 to 638 of the family's 3401-position model. The record is from RNAcentral. Lineage: Eukaryota; Fungi; Ascomycota; Pezizomycetes; Pezizales; Pyronemataceae.